RNAcentral lists this ribosomal RNA (460 nucleotides) under uncultured bacterium. RNAcentral describes it as "partial 16S ribosomal RNA". It matches the Rfam family "Bacterial small subunit ribosomal RNA", at positions 338 to 795 of the family's 1533-position model. The record is from RNAcentral.
CCUACGGGUGGCAGCAGUGAGGAAUAUUGGUCAAUGGACGGAAGUCUGAACCAGCCAAGUCGCGUGAGGGAUGACUGCCCUAUGGGUUGUAAACUUCUUUUAUAUGGGAAUAAUAUGUUCCACGUGUAGGCUUUUGUAUGUACCAUAUGAAUAAGGAUCGGCUAACUCCGUGCCAGCAGCCGCGGUAAUACGGAGGAUCCGGGCGUUAUCCGGAUUUAUUGGGUUUAAAGGGAGCGUAGGUGGAUUGUUAAGUCAGUUGUGAAAGUUUGCGGCUUAACCGUGAAAUUGCAGUUGAAACUGGCAGUCUUGAGUACAGUAGAGGUGGGCGGAAUGCGUGGUGUAGCGGUGAAAUGCUUAGAUAUCACGAAGAACUCCGAUUGCGAAGGCAGCUCACCGGACUGCAACUGACGCUGAGGCUCGAAAGUGUGGGUAUCAAACAGGAUUAGAUACCCCAGUAGUC